GACGAACGCUGGCGGCGUGCUUAACACAUGCAAGUCGAACGGAAAGGCCCUGCUUUUGUGGGGUGCUCGAGUGGCGAACGGGUGAGUAACACGUGAGUAACCUGCCCUUGACUUUGGGAUAACUUCAGGAAACUGGGGCUAAUACCGGAUAGGAGCUCCUGCUGCAUGGUGGGGGUUGGAAAGUUUCGGCGGUUGGGGAUGGACUCGCGGCUUAUCAGCUUGUUGGUGGGGUAGUGGCUUACCAAGGCUUUGACGGGUAGCCGGCCUGAGAGGGUGACCGGGCAAAGUGGGAUGGAGAUACGGCCCAGACUCCUGGGGGAGUGAGCAGUGGGGAAUAGUGCACAAUGGGCGGAAGCCUGAUGCAGCAACGCCGCGUGCGGGAUGACGGCCUUCGGGUUGUAGACCGAUUACGCCUGGGCCGAAGCGUGAGGGGCGGUAAUGGGUAAAGAAGCACCGGCAAACUACGUG
RNAcentral lists this ribosomal RNA (468 nucleotides) under uncultured bacterium. RNAcentral describes it as "partial 16S ribosomal RNA". It matches the Rfam family "Bacterial small subunit ribosomal RNA", at positions 28 to 507 of the family's 1533-position model. The record is from RNAcentral.